Long non-coding RNA from Actinia tenebrosa (Australian red waratah sea anemone), 1175 nucleotides. Lineage: Eukaryota; Metazoa; Cnidaria; Anthozoa; Actiniaria; Actiniidae. The record is from RefSeq and is a predicted model, not a curated record.
UCUUUUAUUUCCUGGUAGGAAUGCCAGUGAAGCAAGCACGUCAAAUAAAAUAAUUGAAGAAGAAUACUCGUCCGCAUCCAGUGAGGAAGAAACUUGUAAUAAAGAUACUGAAGAAGUCGAAGAUAUUUGCAGAGCUAUCAAUGACCGCGAAACGAAGUAUGCAGAAAAGAACGAACCCUGCUGACAUCCUUACACGAAUCAAGAAAACAAGAGAAAGCGAGAGGAUGGAAGACAGGAAAAGACCUCUCAAGGAAAGCUGAAAGUCAAGUAAAAAGCUGAAGUCAUCUAGGAACUCCCAGGUCACCAGAGAGAAAAAACUGGACAGCUUACUCGAAGCAAUCCCCGCCGUUCUUGAUGCGGCCCAAAGUGGUGCAGGAGAGCACCAGAAAGCAUUAAGAAGCUGGAGGGCAGUUCAUGGUCGUGACGUGACAAAUUCUUCGUCAGAUGAAGACUAGCAAUUUAUAGGCUUUAUGAGUUCUGUUCACGUUAUUAAUAAAUAGACAUUAAGCAUCACGUUUUUUCUUACCGCAGAGCCUGGCCGGCAUAAGCACGUUUUUGUUCUUUCCCUGUAAUUUAACUAGUACCUUUUACAAACCUUCUCAGCAAAGACAAAGGUUAUUUCAUUAUUUAUCUAUUGCUUCUUGAAAAGCUUUUCAACUUCUUUUUACUUUUUUUUCCGUUUGCGUAGCACCAAUGUUUGUCUUACUGAAUCUCACAAAUAUCUUGUUUUGUUCUGAAUUUCAACGCAUUGGUUAUGUGCACAGCCUUUUCCAAUGUAGAAGAACUAAUAGAGAACUUGAAUAAAAUCCUGUUUUUCCCCACAGAGGAGGGGGUACAGAGUUGGGAAGCAAGUGUUUACAUGCAGUGAACAAUCUCAGUAGGCACCAACUAUAUGUUAGCAAUACGUACGUGUCCAUGCAGAAGGAAAACUUCUCGAAAAUAAUAACCGUCGUGGUAUUCUACAUUAUAUGCUAGCAUUCUUAGUCCUUUUAUAAAUUUAAGGGCGAGCAUUUACAUUAGUAUAUUAUGAACGCAACUUUUUUAUAUACCUGCGUUUCAACGGGACGAGAUCUUAUUCUCGACCACACUGCUCGUCAGUUAAGCUAAUAAAACAGGUAGUGUUAACGAUAUUAAUUGUGCAAUACCUUAAGUUAAAUAAAACAGGUCUACUGAAA